RNAcentral lists this ribosomal RNA (2624 nucleotides) under Streptococcus pneumoniae. RNAcentral describes it as "bacterial LSU rRNA". It matches the Rfam family "Bacterial large subunit ribosomal RNA". The record is from RNAcentral. Lineage: Bacteria; Bacillati; Bacillota; Bacilli; Lactobacillales; Streptococcaceae.
UACUCUUCGGGGUUGUAGGACUGCAAUAUGGACUCAAAGAUUAUAGAAGAAUGAUUUGGGAAGAUCAGCCAAAGAGAGUAAUAGCCUCGUAUUUAAAAUAGUCUUUGUACUUAGCAGUAUCCUGAGUACGGCGGGACACGUGAAAUCCCGUCGGAAUCUGGGAGGACCAUCUCCCAACCCUAAAUACUCCCUAGUGACCGAUAGUGAACCAGUACCGUGAGGGAAAGGUGAAAAGCACCCCGGGAGGGGAGUGAAAUAGAACCUGAAACCGUGUGCCUACAACAAGUUCGAGUCCGUUAAUGGGUGAGAGCGUGCCUUUUGUAGAAUGAACCGGCGAGUUACGUUAUGAUGCGAGGUUAAGUUGAAGAGACGGAGCCGUAGGGAAACCGAGUCUGAAUAGGGCGCCUUAGUAUCAUGACGUAGACCCGAAACCAUGUGACCUACCCAUGAGCAGGUUGAAGGUGCGGUAAGACGCACUGGAGGACCGAACCAGGGCACGUUGAAAAGUGCUUGGAUGACUUGUGGGUAGCGGAGAAAUUCCAAACGAACUUGGAGAUAGCUGGUUCUCUCCGAAAUAGCUUUAGGGCUAGCGUCGACAUUAGAGAUUCUUGGAGGUAGAGCACUGUUUGGGUGAGGGGUCCAUCCCGGAUUACCAAUCUCAGAUAAACUCCGAAUGCCAAUGAAUUAUGGUCGGCAGUCAGACUGCGAGUGCUAAGAUCCGUAGUCGAAAGGGAAACAGCCCAGACCACCAGCUAAGGUCCCAAAAUAAUUGUUAAGUGGAAAAGGAUGUGGGGUUGCACAGACAACUAGGAUGUUAGCUUAGAAGCAGCUAUUCAUUCAAAGAGUGCGUAAUAGCUCACUAGUCGAGUGACCCUGCGCCGAAAAUGUACCGGGGCUAAAACAAUUUACCGAAGCUGUGGAUACCUUUAUAGGUAUGGUAGGAGAGCGUUCUAUGUGUGAUGAAGGUAUACCGUGAGGAGUGCUGGAACGCAUAGAAGUGAGAAUGCCGGUAUGAGUAGCGAAAGACAGGUGAGAAUCCUGUCCACCGUAAGACUAAGGUUUCCAGGGGAAGGCUCGUCCGCCCUGGGUUAGUCGGGACCUAAGGAGAGACCGAAAGGUGUAUCCGAUGGACAACAGGUUGAUAUUCCUGUACUAGAGUAUGUAGUGAUGGAGGGACGCAGUAGGCUAACUAAAGCAGACGAUUGGAAGAGUCUGUCUAAGCAGUGAGGUGUGAAUUGAGUCAAAUGCUUAAUUCUAUAACAUUGAGCUGUGAUGGGGAGCGAAGUUUAGUAGCGAAGUUAGUGACGUCACACUGCCAAGAAAAGCUUCUAGCGUUUAACCAUACUCUACCCGUACCGCAAACCGACACAGGUAGUCGAGGCGAGUAGCCUCAGGUGAGCGAGAGAACUCUCGUUAAGGAACUCGGCAAAAUGACCCCGUAACUUCGGGAGAAGGGGUGCUGACUUUAAGUCAGCCGCAGUGAAUAGGCCCAAGCAACUGUUUAUCAAAAACACAGCUCUCUGCUAAAUCGUAAGAUGAUGUAUAGGGGGUGACGCCUGCCCGGUGCUGGAAGGUUAAGAGGAGUGCUUAGCGUAAGCGAAGGUAUGAAUUGAAGCCCCAGUAAACGGCGGCCGUAACUAUAACGGUCCUAAGGUAGCGAAAUUCCUUGUCGGGUAAGUUCCGACCCGCACGAAAGGCGUAAUGAUUUGGGCACUGUCUCAACGAGAGACUCGGUGAAAUUUUAGUACCUGUGAAGAUGCAGGUUACCCGCGACAGGACGGAAAGACCCCAUGGAGCUUUACUGCAGUUUGAUAUUGAGUGUCUGUACCACAUGUACAGGAUAGGUAGGAGUCUAAGAGAUCGGGACGCCAGUUUCGAAGGAGACGCUGUUGGGAUACUACCCUUGUGUUAUGGCCACUCUAACCCAGAUAGGUGAUCCCUAUCGGAGACAGUGUCUGACGGGCAGUUUGACUGGGGCGGUCGCCUCCUAAAAGGUAACGGAGGCGCCCAAAGGUUCCCUCAGAAUGGUUGGAAAUCAUUCGCAGAGUGUAAAGGUAUAAGGGAGCUUGACUGCGAGAGCUACAACUCGAGCAGGGACGAAAGUCGGGCUUAGUGAUCCGGUGGUUCCGUAUGGAAGGGCCAUCGCUCAACGGAUAAAAGCUACCCUGGGGAUAACAGGCUUAUCUCCCCCAAGAGUUCACAUCGACGGGGAGGUUUGGCACCUCGAUGUCGGCUCGUCGCAUCCUGGGGCUGUAGUCGGUCCCAAGGGUUGGGCUGUUCGCCCAUUAAAGCGGCACGCGAGCUGGGUUCAGAACGUCGUGAGACAGUUCGGUCCCUAUCCGUCGCGGGCGUAGGAAAUUUGAGAGGAUCUGCUCCUAGUACGAGAGGACCAGAGUGGACUUACCGCUGGUGUACCAGUUGUCUUGCCAAAGGCAUCGCUGGGUAGCUAUGUAGGGAAGGGAUAAACGCUGAAAGCAUCUAAGUGUGAAACCCACCUCAAGAUGAGAUUUCCCAUGAUUAUAUAUCAGUAAGAGCCCUGAGAGAUGAUCAGGUAGAUAGGUUAGAAGUGGAAGUGUGGCGACACAUGUAGCGGACUAAUACUAAUAGCUCGAGGACUUAUCCAA